AGUGGAGACCAGGUGCUAUAAGGAGAUAAUCCAAAUGGAAUCAGGUGUUAAUGAAUGAAGACCAUUCUUCAUCUUGCUCCAGUGGCCCAGCAGGGACCGAGCAGGGGGCGACUAAUGGUCUAACCUCGCUGGAUCGCAGGACUCCGAAGAACGGGUAGAGGAAGGCAGGCACCAGGGCUGCAGCUCCAAGAGGCACCGCCUCGGACACCCAGUACACAGCAGUCACGAUCAACACAAGAACGCUGAGGCGCUGCACCAGCACCGCGCUCCCUCCACCGGCCUCCCCUCUGACCUCCCCCCUGACCCCCUGGCCCCAGGAGGGGACCGGCUGGUACUCACGCUGCUGGGGUGGAGCAUGGGCAGAGGCAGCAGCAGGAGAGGCACGAAGACGACGAGCAGCAGCUUCCUGGCUCGGAGGAGGCCCUUCAGCAAGCCCAUCCUGGACCUCCUCGCCUCGGAGCUCGCGCCAGCCAAGUGCCUGCGCUGCUGGCGACGCCCGCCUCCCUCCAGAAACACUCCUUCAACCUUUCUCGGCUUCCAAGAGUCCUCUUUCGUCUUAAGAGCAGAACAGGAGGGCAGGUAGAACCCCUGUUGGCAACAAAGGCCGGCCUCCUCGCCUUCGGUUUUAGGUGGGAUUGGUGAGCAUAGUUUUAUGCCCAGCAAAAAGGAAGCGGGAAAGGAUGAUAAACGGGGGCAUAAUGGCUCUCUCUUUGCUUGAUCAGUAAUGGAGUAACUUCAUUCUAAAGCUCAGCAAAAGCCCCCUUAAUCAAUCAAGAUUACACCUCUGCUGCAGCUGUCUGGUUGCCGUCUGUUGUGCACUCCAUCAUUUUUCCUCUCUCUGAUGGCCUGUUUUGGGCAGUACCACUUUCGCUUUCUACCUGUGCUGGCUGUACCCCCUUUCCUUAAAAAAAUCUAGUCCCCCCACUUCCCUUAAAACAAACCCCCGAGUUUGUCAGCAGACCAUGGAGACUUCAAAUAGGGCUGGUCUCUUCUCCCAGGACCUGGCACCUUAACUCUGUUCAAAUUGCUUUCCUUCUAAUUGGUUUCCCAUUAUAAUUUGCCUUGAGCCUGGGCCUCCAAAGCAGAAAAAAAAAGUGCCCAAGACAUUCCUUUUUGUCACGGGACAAACUCUUGCUGGAGGCCCACCUUAACUUUCCUUCACCUAUGGGACGCAGGACGGAGGCAGUAGCCACGCCCAUUCCUGACAGCCAAUCAGCACGUUGGAAAGAAUGAGUCAGUAUCUCUUCCAAAGGCAGUUCGGGAUUGGUCCCAGCAGGGGCCUGCUGAUUCUGCAGAACCUAAGCAAUUUGCAAAGCUUAUUUUUGUUUCUCAAACAUCCUAGGGGCUGGAGUGAUGACCAUCACCGUAAACAUAAUCCCACUUCCUCAAGCACUGCUUUAACGCUGCAAAGCA
Molecule: long non-coding RNA, 1413 nt
Organism: Balaenoptera ricei (Rice's whale)
Lineage: Eukaryota; Metazoa; Chordata; Mammalia; Artiodactyla; Balaenopteridae
Exons: 3
Source: RefSeq, a predicted model, not a curated record